UAUUGCUCAAUGGGCGCAAGCCUGAAGCAGCGACGCCGCGUGGACGAUGAAGGUCUUCGGAUCGUAAAGUCCUUUUCUGUGUGACGAGCAAGGACGGUAGCACAGGAAUAAGUCUCGGCUAACUACGUGCCAGCAGCCGCGGUAAAACGUAGGAGACAAACGUUAUCCGGAGUUACUGGGCGUAAAGGGCGUGUAGGUGGUUCUGUAAGUCUGGCGUGAAAUUUCUCGGCUUAACCGAGGCAGGUCGUCGGAUACUGCGGGGCUAGAGGACGGUAGAGGCGUGUGGAAUUCCGGGUGUAGUGGUGAAAUGCGUAGAGAUCCGGAGGAACACCAGUGGCGAAGGCGACACGCUGGGCCGUACCUGACACUGAUGCGCGACAGCAUGGGGAGCAAAC
This 395-nucleotide ribosomal RNA is filed under the name uncultured bacterium. RNAcentral describes it as "bacterial SSU rRNA". It matches the Rfam family "Bacterial small subunit ribosomal RNA", at positions 362 to 773 of the family's 1533-position model. The record is from RNAcentral.